GAUGAAGAACGUAGCGAAAUGCGAUAAGUAAUGUGAAUUGCGGAAUUCAGUGAAUCAUCGAAUCUUUGAACGCACAUUGCGCCCGCCAGUAUUCUGGCGGGCAUGCCUGUUCGAGCGUCAUUACAACCCUCAGGCCCCCGGGCCUGGCGUUGGGGAUCGGCGGAGCCCCCCGUGGGCACACGCCGUCCCCCAAAUGCAGUGGCGGUCCCGCCGCAGCUUCCAUCGCGUAGUAGCUAACACCUCGCGACUGGAGAGCGGCGCGGCCACGCCGUAAAACACCCAACUUCUGAAUGUUGACCUCGAAUCAGGUAGGAAUACCCGCUGAACUUAAGCAUAUCAAUAAGCGGAGGA
RNAcentral lists this unclassified non-coding RNA (351 nucleotides) under soil metagenome. RNAcentral's name for it is "partial contains 5.8S ribosomal RNA, internal transcribed spacer 2, and large subunit ribosomal RNA". The stretch from base 1 to 120 matches the Rfam family "5.8S ribosomal RNA", at positions 35 to 154 of the family's 154-position model. The record is from RNAcentral.